GGUGGGGGUGGCUCUUUGGUUGUUGGACGUGAGGAUGAGGUUUGAUGAGUUGACGAAGGCGUGUGGGUGGCGGCGGCGGUGGUGGGAAUACUCUCCCAUUGCGGUCGUGCUGACGGGAGCUGGUCGUGCAUAUUUGCAGCCUUAUCUGGGACAGUAGAUUUGUAGCUCUCCUCGUUUCUAUUAUUACUAUCAUUAUUGACCGGGGGUUCGUUGGUUGAGAAACGGCUAAUCACUUGCGGGCCAAUAUGAGCUAGCGUUUGUGUUGAACGGAUGGGCAGAGUAGGGCGUUCAGCUUGUCCCUGCGGUUGUGAAGAGGAUAACCUUGUGGGCUUUGCUGGGAGGGGUGGCGCUGGCUUCCGUCGAAUGCUGGACGACACUGUGUCCACAUUGCUGUCUCUAUAUCCUUCGACAGCCCCACUACGAAGAACAGCUGGUUUGGAAGGCCUUAUG
This 450-nucleotide small RNA is filed under the name Histoplasma capsulatum. RNAcentral's name for it is "hypothetical RNA". The record is from RNAcentral. RNAcentral also lists the same sequence under 1 other name. Lineage: Eukaryota; Fungi; Ascomycota; Eurotiomycetes; Onygenales; Ajellomycetaceae.